UUUUCCCCUUCCUUCCAUAUUAUCAAUCUGUUUUUGCUAGGAUUACUAUUUAUUUUGUAAAAGGGUACCCUGAGAAACAACUAGUACUGGUUUAAGAAAUGGGUACAGCAAGGGAAGAAAUGGAAAUUGAACACUGGAGGUUGGCUUGUUUGGUUCUGAAACACCACAAUAAUGAUCUGAUGAAUGGGGUUUAGUAAAGUUAAGAGAAGGUUUCAGGAAGAAGGUUUUAAGGAAGGAGUAGAGAUUUCACAGAAACAUGAUGAUCCCAAUGUAACAGUCUACAAGAGGAAAAGAUGUGCAGACACCAUGGAAAUGGAAAAUCACCAUUGGAGGUUAGCUUGUUUGGUUCUGAAACACCAAAACAAUGAGCUGAUGAAGGAGUGUAGUCAACUGAAGAAAAAGUAUGAGGAAGGUUUCAAGGAAGGAAUAGAAAUUUCAAGAAAACAUGAUGAUCCCAGUGUCAUAAUCUACAAGAGGAAAAAAUGUUGUACAGACGUUUUGGAGGAUGAUCAAAGGGGCAAAUGUCAAAAAUGUACUGAACUCAACCGGGAAAUCGAUGAUUUGAAGUUGAUGAAGAAAAGAAAUGUUGUUGAGAUUGAAGAUCUGAGGAUAAAUUGCAUGGAAAUGGACAUUGAAGUAACCGCCUUGUGAAUCAUGAAAUCGACUUGGAAAAAGAACUAGAAGCUUAUAUAAUCAAGUGUCAAGGAUUGUCUGCAGAGCUACAGCGGAAGGGAACGGAAUUGGAGAACCUAGAGGUAAUAAACGGCCGUCUUGAUCGUCGGUGUGAAAUGUACAGGGCCAAAUGCAUUGCAAUGGAAGAGAAAAUCAAAGGGUUGAUAGAAGAAGGAAUUGUCAUGUCUGGAAUUGUUAUGUCUGAAAGGGAGACGAGUGCAAGAGAAAGAAUUCGUCACUUGGAGGAGGUAAUUAAGAAAAUGGAAACUAACGAAAGAGGGAGGUUUGCAGAGUUGGAAGCUUAUAGAAUCAAAUGCCAAGGUUUGUCUGCAGAGCUGGAACGGAAGGGUCUGGAAUUGGAGAACCUAAGGGUAGUAAAUGGUCGUCUUGAUCGUGAGCGCGAAGACUACAUGACUAAAUGCAUUGAAAUGGAAGACCAAAUCAAGGGGUUAACAGAAGAAGGAAUUGUUAUGUAUCAAAGGGAGAAGAGUGUAGGUCUCAGGAGACUCUCCUCAUGCCAACAAUCUAAGGGUGGCAGAGAAUGCAUUGGGACACCAAGUAAGUUUUAAGACAGAAGGGACACUAACUAGGUUCCGCAAGUGCAGUGGAACGCCGUCUAGUGAAAAUCUAGCUUUGCAGCCCAAACAAGAUGGCGCAAGGCCAUCUACAUGAGAUUGUCGAUGUCAGCGACGGUGGGGGAGAGAAUGAAGGAGAUUACUUUGAAACAUACUUAUAGUUUGAUGCAGCAAAUCAGAGAUUUUGCAAUUUCUGCAACUUAUUUUGGAAGAUCACAUGACUUGAAUUUUCAAGUAGUUGCUGCUGUAAUUGUGGUUUAAGAUCUCAUAAAGGAAGUAUAUUUCACCUUGCUUAUUAAAGCGCAGGGCUCACUCUUUACAUAUUGGCUGAUGAACAUUUGAAACCCUGGUACUGAAUCAAGACUACUCUACAGCAGUGUUCAAUGCAUUGGUCCAGUUACUCCACAUAAGAUACUUGCAUGUAAUUCUUUUUUAACCUUAUUCAAAUGCCUCCAAAUGUGUGUGAACCGAGUCAGAUGUAGAAAAAAUGGAAGCGUGAAAGAUAGAGUAGCAGUGAAGAUCAUUGAAGAGGUUUCUUUUUGGGGUUAUUACAAAAGCUGAGUCUUUUUUAAUUUAGACUAUCAAUAGAUUCAUGAAUUAAGCUCAUCUGAAACAUUAUUGCUCUUAUAAUUCUAACUCUUAGCCUGUCCUUGCUUGAAAUUUUCAACUACUUAGAUUGAAAGCUAAAGUUUUUGUGCACCUCUCUAGUUAAUCUUCAUUACUGCAUGAUGAGGAUGCCAGAGUCUGUGCAGCUAAUGAGGCGCACUUGACAAGAACUGAAACACGUCCAAAUACUACUAUUACACCUGCCAGUUACAAACCUUCUUCUUCACUGCAAGUAAAUUCCGAUGUUGUGCACGCCUCAGACUCAGCUCAUAUCAACAAUCAGUGCAAGUCUGUAGUAGGUGCCAAGGAUUACUUUGCAAGUGCAGCUGGGCGCCAAGUAGGUUCUGACUGAGACACAAGAAGGGACACUAACCAGGUUUCGCAAGUGCAGCGGCACACCAUCUACUGAAAAUUUAGCUUUGCUCAGACAAGAAGAUGGUGCAAGGGCAUCAUCAACUGCAGGCAUUGUUGAGAUCGACAGUGAGCUGGAAAUCGUGGAUAUCAGCGAUGAUGAGGAAGAAAAUUAAGGAGACUUAUCUGAUUCUGAUACAUACUCAAGACAACAGAAGAAGACACAUUCAACUAACCAGGCACCAUGUAUAAUUCUUUCUUUUACUGCAGCAAAUAGGCGGCAGAUGCAUUUAGGCAAAUGAGGCCAUUUUUAACCUUUCUACGUUCUCCUAAUUCCUAUCAAUAUUGUAAGAGGAACUGAAACUAGUGGAAGUAGAUAGAUAUACAAAUUGGUUUACAGUUUUGAGGACAUUUUGGUGUCCUAACAGUAACA
Long non-coding RNA from Papaver somniferum (opium poppy), 2637 nucleotides. RefSeq lists it as uncharacterized. The record is from RefSeq and is a predicted model, not a curated record. The transcript has 3 exons. Lineage: Eukaryota; Viridiplantae; Streptophyta; Magnoliopsida; Ranunculales; Papaveraceae.